RNAcentral lists this ribosomal RNA (446 nucleotides) under Hiroa stubbingsi. RNAcentral's name for it is "partial 16S ribosomal RNA". It matches the Rfam family "Bacterial large subunit ribosomal RNA", at positions 1933 to 2590 of the family's 2925-position model. The record is from RNAcentral. Lineage: Eukaryota; Metazoa; Arthropoda; Thecostraca; Balanomorpha; Pyrgomatidae.
GCAGUAUCCUAACUGUGCUAAGGUAGCAUAAUCAUUAGUCUUUUAAUUGGAGACUGGUAUGAAUGGCUUAACGAGAAAUUGACUUUUUUUGUUAUAAAAAUUGAAUUUAAUUUUUUAGUGAAAAAGCUAAAAUAAUUCAGAAAGACGAGAAGACCCUAUAGAGUUUUAUGUUAUAUAAGAUUCAUUUUUAAUAGAUUUUUAAAAAAAUGAGUUUUAAAAAACAUUUUGUUGGGGCGACAUUUAGAUAUAAGAAACUCUUUAUUUUUAUAAUUUUAGUGAAAAUUUCAAUUGAUCCUUUAAAAAAGAUCAAAAGAAAAAAUUACCUUAGGGAUAACAGCGUAAUCUUUUUUGAGAGUUCUAAUCGACAAAAAGGUUUGCGACCUCGAUGUUGGACUAAAAUUUAGACAGGGUGCAGUAGUUCUGUUUUAAGGUCUGUUCGACCUAUA